This is an RNA transcript of Hippocampus comes (tiger tail seahorse), 1117 nucleotides long. RefSeq lists it as uncharacterized. The record is from RefSeq and is a predicted model, not a curated record. The transcript is spliced from 5 exons. NCBI's taxonomy places the organism in Eukaryota, Metazoa, Chordata, Actinopteri, Syngnathiformes, Syngnathidae.
GUCCAAACUUGCCACUGGCACCAUUUAAAAAAAACAGUCCUGGUCUUGCAUGAGUUACGACUUUGCUCCUUUUGCUGUCAUCAUGACUGGUUGUGUGGCUUCUGGGGCUUUGCUUCUUGUUGCGAUGGCAGCCCUCACUCUCUGCCACCCAUACGGGCAAGGUAAACAAUGACGGUGAUUCUUUGGCUUUAUUGCUAAGCUGUUGGCCUCAGGUCUUUCCCGAGCAGUCACUUCAGACCCGGAACUCUGUUGCAAGAACCGCCAAAGCAAAAGUUCACACCUCAUCUGUCCGUUUCUGGGGCAAGGACUCCAAUUGUGAAAGAGGAUGCCACUCACGUUGCCAAAGUUUGGGCACAUGGUAAUGAACAGCAGGUCUUAAGUGGUGCUGAAAACGUUCCCGACGCAGUGGACAUGGAUGAACAACUUGACGCGUCGGGUGGUGUUGCAGUCCCACAAUUGCCGGUCUCUGGCGGUCCUGACAUGUCUGGUUUUGGCCCAAUUCAUCCCCAACCUGCCCCGUACCCACAACUACAUUUCCAGCCCGGUGAGCUGUUGUGCCUGGAGAAAACCUUUGAGCAUGGGGACUACGAAUCAGAGCGCGAAGCCCAUGGCAUCCCACAACAACCUCGUCCUCAACCCCUGCCAGUUCCUUUCGGUUCAACACCCCAAAGUGUAGCGCGUUUCCCUCCUGGCUUUGUCCCGCCAUACGUGAGCGUACCUUACGUUCCCUAUCCUUUCGCCUACUUUUUCUUGACCGGCCGGUAUCCUCCAGGCGCAGCAACUCACUUCAGCAGCAACUUUGAGCACGGUACAAACUAUAACCAGGACCUUGACUAUGAGAAAGAUGAGCCCAUAUGGCCCUGGGUGGACGCUGCUGGACCGCCCCAAAACACUGAACAGGCCGUUAGUCAAGGGAGCGUCUUGAAUGACGGAUUAGAGUCAGGUUCUAGCUACUACAGUCCUCUCAACCAGCCCGAUGAAGUAAAAGUCCCUCAUUACUACAGUCCUCUCAACCACCCCGAUCAAGUCAAAAUAUCUCCUCGCUACUUCAGGAGCCGGGUUGAAUACUAGGUGCCUUGGAAUGGUCUUUUGAAAUUGAAUAAAUGGAGAAAUCUCA